RNAcentral lists this ribosomal RNA (497 nucleotides) under uncultured bacterium. RNAcentral describes it as "partial 16S ribosomal RNA". It matches the Rfam family "Bacterial small subunit ribosomal RNA", at positions 30 to 507 of the family's 1533-position model. The record is from RNAcentral.
AUUGAACGCUGGCGGCAUGCUUUACACAUGCAAGUCGAACGGUAACAGGCGUUCGGGUGCUGACGAGUGGUGGACGCGGGCGUAAUGCUACGAAAUGUACCCCGAGGCGGGGGGAAACGCAGCGCAUGCUGUGCUAAUACCUCAUGUGAGCUGAGGAUGAAAGCGGGGGACCGCACAACAAAGAGUGGGUCCGGCCCUUACGUGUGGCCGAUUCCGGGCUGGAUUAGCUAGUUGGUAAGGUAACGGCUUACCAAGGCAACGAUGCGUAGCUGAUCUGAGAGGGUGAUCAGCCACACUGGGACUGAGACACGGUCCAGACUCCUACGGGAGGCAGCAGUAGGGAAUCUUCCGCAAUGGGCGAAAGCCUGAUGGAGCAAUGCCGCGUGAGUGAAGAAGGUCUUCGGAUUGUAAAACGCUGUUGGCAGGGACGAAAAGAUGUCCGAUAAUCCCGGCACAUAAUGACGGUACCUGCAGAGAAAGCAACGGCUAACUACGUG